This 379-nucleotide ribosomal RNA is filed under the name Caulerpa cylindracea. RNAcentral's name for it is "bacterial SSU rRNA". It matches the Rfam family "Eukaryotic small subunit ribosomal RNA", at positions 1459 to 1831 of the family's 1831-position model. Lineage: Eukaryota; Viridiplantae; Chlorophyta; Ulvophyceae; Bryopsidales; Caulerpaceae. The record is from RNAcentral.
GGUCUGUGAUGCCCUUAGUUACCCUAGGUCGCACGCGCCAUACAAUGUGGCGCACAACGAGUUUCCUAGGCCGAUGGGAUUCUAAGAGACUCUGGGCAAUCUGAGAGAGCGCUACGUGACUGGGCUAGACUUUUGUAAUUGUUGGUCUUGAACGAGGAAUGCCUAGUAAUCGUAGGUCAUUAUCCUGCGAUGAUUAUGUCCCUGCCCUUUGUACACACCGCCCGUCGCUCCUGCCGUGGCUCGUGCCGGUGAAGAGGGGGAGGCAGCGUCAACGGAGUAACAUCUGAUUGUACGUGGAACCCCUCUGAACCUUCGCGAGUAGAGGAAGGAGAAGUCGUAACAAGGUUUUCGUAGGUGAACCUGCGAAAGGAUCAUUAUC